GUGAUACUCCCUCCGUCUCAUAUUAAAUGACUUUCUAUUACAUGUAUCUAGAUCUUUUUUAGACAUAGAUACAUUCAUAUUUGGACAAAUUUGAAUCACUUAAUAUGAAACGGAGGGAGUAUAAG
Non-coding RNA from Brachypodium distachyon (stiff brome), 125 nucleotides. Lineage: Eukaryota; Viridiplantae; Streptophyta; Magnoliopsida; Poales; Poaceae. The record is from Rfam.